GACGAACGCUGGCGGCGUGCCUAAUACAUGCAAGUAGAACGCUGAAGGAGGAGCUUGCUCUUCUGGAUGAGUUGCGAACGGGUGAGUAACGCGUAGGUAACCUGCCUGGUAGCGGGGGAUAACUAUUGGAAACGAUAGCUAAUACCGCAUAACAGUAGAUGUUGCAUGACAUUUACUUAAAAGGUGCAAUUGCAUCACUACCAGAUGGACCUGCGUUGUAUUAGCUAGUUGGUGGGGUAACGGCUCACCAAGGCGACGAUACAUAGCCGACCUGAGAGGGUGAUCGGCCACACUGAGACUGAGACACGGCCCAGACUCCUACGGGAGGCAGCAGUAGGGAAUCUUCGGCAAUGGACGGAAGUCUGACCGAGCAACGCCGCGUGAGUGAAGAAGGUUUUCGGAUCGUAAAGCUCUGUCGUAAGAGAAGAACGAGUGUGAGAGUGGAAAGUUCACACUGUGACGGUAUCUUACCAGAAAGGGACGGCUAACUACGUG
RNAcentral lists this ribosomal RNA (495 nucleotides) under uncultured bacterium. RNAcentral describes it as "partial 16S ribosomal RNA". It matches the Rfam family "Bacterial small subunit ribosomal RNA", at positions 28 to 507 of the family's 1533-position model. The record is from RNAcentral.